CUUAUCUUUACACCUAGGAAAAGAAAAAGCAGCAAUCCAAGAGAGCUGAACACCCUCCUGAGAAAGGGGAAGAAACAAAUCUCCAGUGGGCGUGUAACCAAAGGAGAGAGACAUUUAAAUUAUUUCCUGCAGCUGAAAACCGGUGAAGGUCAAAUGGGGGAAAACAAUCUUGCAAGAACAAUAUUUGUUAACAAAAUCAUACCAUAUAAAAAAUCAGUGAGCCAAAGUUGGUUCAUCCCAGAAGCAACAUAUCCAUGGAGCAACAAGCUUCUGCCUUGCUCCUGGGCGUCUGAAUUCCAAGCUCCUGGCUCAUGCCCUCUGAGUGUUGCCAGAUGUUGCUGUGAUUUUGCCUUGGAGACUGGACAGAGGACUGCACCCACUUGAAUCAAGUUUGAACAAGUUGUUUGGCAGCAGAGAAAGUGUCCACUUGAUUUUUUUUUUAAAUGCACCAUGGAAGAGGGUGGAGGAUGCGAGAUAUAGUGAGCAACACUCCCCCAUUCCAGUAGCCUCCUCCCUCUGAUUGUACCCAAGGCAUAUGGAUGGUGUUACACCCUGUUGCUUCAUCUACAGGUUUCCCUCCUUUACAACCGGUUGGUUCAGGCCGGAACUCACUCUAGCAUUAGCUUUCUGGGCCAUGCUUUGAAACCUCCACCUCCAGCUGUUAUAGAUGAUGAAG
Molecule: long non-coding RNA, 676 nt
Organism: Ahaetulla prasina
Lineage: Eukaryota; Metazoa; Chordata; Lepidosauria; Squamata; Colubridae
Exons: 3
Source: RefSeq, a predicted model, not a curated record